GCCUGCCCAGUGACCAUGUGUUCAACGGCCGCGGUAUUCUGACCGCGCGAAGGUAGCGUAAUCACUUGUUUUCUAAAUAAAGACUAGUAUGAACGGCCACACGAGGACUUAACUGUCUCCCUUGUCCAAUCAGUGAAACUGAUCUCCUCGUGCAGAAGCGAGGAUAUUACCAUAAGACGAGAAGACCCUAUGGAGCUUUAAACUAAAAUCAACUAUUUUUAACUUCUCUCCAAGGAAUUAACAGAUAACCAAAUAUGCUUGAUACAAGUUUUAGGUUGGGGCGACCAUGGAGAAAAAGAAAUCCUCCCUGAUGACUCACAAACCAAGAGCCACGGCUCUAAGUAUUAAGAUACUUAACUUCCAUUGACCCAUUUAAUGAUCAACGAACCAAGUUACCCUAGGGAUAACAGCGCAAUCCAUUUCAAGAGUCCCUAUCGACAAAUGGGUUUACGACCUCGAUGUUGGAUCAGGGCAUCCAAGUGGUGCAACCGCUACUAAAGGUUCGUUUGUUCAACGAUUAAAGCCCU
This 527-nucleotide ribosomal RNA is filed under the name Megophrys gigantica. RNAcentral describes it as "partial 16S ribosomal RNA". It matches the Rfam family "Bacterial large subunit ribosomal RNA", at positions 1857 to 2597 of the family's 2925-position model. The record is from RNAcentral. Lineage: Eukaryota; Metazoa; Chordata; Amphibia; Anura; Megophryidae.